CUGACAUAAGUAACGAUAAAGCGGGUGAAAAGCCCGCUCGCCGGAAGACCAAGGGUUCCUGUCCAACGUUAAUCGGGGCAGGGUGAGUCGACCCCUAAGGCGAGGCCGAAAGGCGUAGUCGAUGGGAAACAGGUUAAUAUUCCUGUACUUGGUGUUACUGCGAAGGGGGGACGGAGAAGGCUAUGUUGGCCGGGCGACGGUUGUCCCGGUUUAAGCGUGUAGGCUGGUUUUCCAGGCAAAUCCGGAAAAUCAAGGCUGAGGCGUGAUGACGAGGCACUACGGUGCUGAAGCGACAAAUGCCCUGCUUCCAGGAAAAGCCUCUAAGCAUCAGGUAACAUCAAAUCGUACCCCAAACCGACACAGGUGGUCAGGUAGAGAAUACCAAGGCGCUUGAGAGAACUCGGGUGAAGGAACUAGGCAAAAUGGUGCCGUAACUUCGGGAGAAGGCACGCUGAUAUGUAGGUGAAGCGACUUGCUCGUGGAGCUGAAAUCAGUCGAAGAUACCAGCUGGCUGCAACUGUUUAUUAAAAACACAGCACUGUGCAAACACGAAAGUGGACGUAUACGGUGUGACGCCUGCCCGGUGCCGGAAGGUUAAUUGAUGGGGUUAGCGGUAACGCGAAGCUCUUGAUCGAAGCCCCGGUAAACGGCGGCCGUAACUAUAACGGUCCUAAGGUAGCGAAAUUCCUUGUCGGGUAAGUUCCGACCUGCACGAAUGGCGUAAUGAUGGCCAGGCUGUCUCCACCCGAGACUCAGUGAAAUUGAACUCGCUGUGAAGAUGCAGUGUACCCGCGGCAAGACGGAAAGACCCCGUGAACCUUUACUAUAGCUUGACACUGAACAUUGAGCCUUGAUGUGUAGGAUAGGUGGGAGGCUUUGAAGUGUGGACGCCAGUCUGCAUGGAGCCGACCUUGAAAUACCACCCUUUAAUGUUUGAUGUUCUAACGUGGGCCCCUUACCGGGGUUGCGGACAGUGUCUGGUGGGUAGUUUGACUGGGGCGGUCUCCUCCUAAAGAGUAACGGAGGAGCACGAAGGUUGGCUAAUCCUGGUCGGACAUCAGGAGGUUAGUGCAAUGGCAUAAGCCAGCUUGACUGCGAGCGUGACGGCGCGAGCAGGUGCGAAAGCAGGUCAUAGUGAUCCGGUGGUUCUGAAUGGAAGGGCCAUCGCUCAACGGAUAAAAGGUACUCCGGGGAUAACAGGCUGAUACCGCCCAAGAGUUCAUAUCGACGGCGGUGUUUGGCACCUCGAUGUCGGCUCAUCACAUCCUGGGGCUGAAGUAGGUCCCAAGGGUAUGGCUGUUCGCCAUUUAAAGUGGUACGCGAGCUGGGUUUAGAACGUCGUGAGACAGUUCGGUCCCUAUCUGCCGUGGGCGCUGGAGAACUGAGGGGGGCUGCUCCUAGUACGAGAGGACCGGAGUGGACGCAUCACUGGUGUUCGGGUUGUCAUGCCAAUGGCACUGCCCGGUAGCUAAAUGCGGAAGAGAUAAGUGCUGAAAGCAUCUAAGCACGAAACUUGCCCCGAGAUGAGUUCUCCCUGACUCCUUGAGAGUCCUGAAGGAACGUUGAAGACGACGACGUUGAUAGGCCGGGUGUGUAAGCGCAGCGAUGCGUUGAGCUAACCGGUACUAAUGAACCGUGAG
Molecule: ribosomal RNA, 1640 nt
Filed under: Escherichia coli
Lineage: Bacteria; Pseudomonadati; Pseudomonadota; Gammaproteobacteria; Enterobacterales; Enterobacteriaceae
Description: partial 23S ribosomal RNA
Rfam family: Bacterial large subunit ribosomal RNA
Source: RNAcentral